UACGAAGGAUGCAAGCGUUAUCCGGAUUCAUUGGGUUUAAAGGGAGCGUAGGUGGCCUUAUAAGUCAGUGGUGAAAUCUCUGGGCUUAACCCAGAAAUUGCCAUUGAUACUGUAGGGCUUGAGUAUAGUUGCCGUUGGCGGAAUAUGACAUGUAGUGGUGAAAUACAUAGAGAUGUCAUAGAACACCGAUUGCGAAGGCAGCUAACGAAACUAUAACUGACACUGAGGCUCGAAAGCUAGGGGAGCAAACGGG
This 253-nucleotide ribosomal RNA is filed under the name uncultured bacterium. RNAcentral's name for it is "partial 16S ribosomal RNA". It matches the Rfam family "Bacterial small subunit ribosomal RNA", at positions 524 to 776 of the family's 1533-position model. The record is from RNAcentral.